RNAcentral lists this ribosomal RNA (323 nucleotides) under uncultured cyanobacterium. RNAcentral's name for it is "bacterial SSU rRNA". It matches the Rfam family "Bacterial small subunit ribosomal RNA", at positions 225 to 562 of the family's 1533-position model. Lineage: Bacteria; Bacillati; Cyanobacteriota. The record is from RNAcentral.
AUGAGCUCGCGUCUGAUUAGCUAGUUGGAGGGGUAAAGGCCCACCAAGGCGACGAUCAGUAGCUGGUCUGAGAGGAUGAUCAGCCACACUGGAACUGAGACACGGUCCAGACUCCUACGGGAGGCAGCAGUGGGGAAUUUUCCGCAAUGGGCGAAAGCCUGACGGAGCAAUACCGCGUGAGGGAGGAAGGCUCUUGGGUUGUAAACCUCUUUUCUCAGGGAAGAAUAUCGGCAGGGCCCGUGAGAAAUCAUCCUGGGUAAAUUCCGUCCCAGCCGCCGCGGUAAUACGGAGGAUGCAAGCGUUAUCCGGAAUGUUUGGGCGUA